This is a long non-coding RNA of Siniperca chuatsi (mandarin fish), 277 nucleotides long. RefSeq lists it as uncharacterized. The transcript is spliced from 3 exons. The record is from RefSeq and is a predicted model, not a curated record. Lineage: Eukaryota; Metazoa; Chordata; Actinopteri; Centrarchiformes; Sinipercidae.
CCCAGUUCUACUGCCCACCGUAUAGACGUCCCACCUAACCAGUAGGAGUCAAGGACAUGAUCCCUCACUGGCUUCCCACCCACUAACGCGGCCAAUCGUGUUUGUUGGAAUGCACGACCAAGAUGACCAAGCUCGAGGUGACUCCAGAGCCACUGAGGAAGCCAUUCAUCCUCUACCUGCCACGUUGUUAGAGGACUGAGAGAGGAAAGACGAACAAAUGUGCAGAUGUGUGAAGAGGACACCUGCUUCUUUUUGGUCUCCGAACACAUUCUUUCAG